Molecule: unclassified non-coding RNA, 1880 nt
Filed under: Hevea brasiliensis (rubber tree)
Lineage: Eukaryota; Viridiplantae; Streptophyta; Magnoliopsida; Malpighiales; Euphorbiaceae
Source: RNAcentral
GAGAGAGAGAGAGAGAGAGAUAGAGAGAGAGAGAAUCCUAAUAUUUGGUUUGUUUUUGCUGUUAUUGUUGUUAAUGCAAAUGUUGUAAUCAUGAUCACUGUUGAUAAUAGUAAUCUUUUGUGCAUUUGAUUGCCUUUAUUUGUGAAGAAUAUUUUUUAGUGCUUCUUUUCUGUUCCUUGUUGAACAGUGCAACUCAAAUUCCUUUUGGGGUGCUUAGGUUGGCUGCUCUUCUUGUAUGGUCAUCUACCUUGAUUGCUUGAUAGAGAAAUCUGGCAUUCUAUUCCACAUUAACUCCUUAUCGCUUCCCUUUCGAGGUGAAUUUGUCUGUUUAUUUCAGGCCAUACUGGAGAUGUUAUUUCCCAAAUACUCAAGCUGUAAUCUAUGUAGUUGAUUCAAGUGAUACUGAUAGAAUUGGAAUAGCCAAAGAAGAAUUUCAUGCAAUUUUGGAGGUAUUUUCAUGGAUAGGCAUUAUUAAGUAAACCUAUUUUGCAUCAAUUUAUGAUAGAUAUGAGGAUAGCGUCAUAACUCUUGCUCUGUGAAAAGCUUGUUAUCCUUUGUUAAUUUUAGUUAAUUUGAAAGCUAUCUUAGCUGGUAAUGACUCAUGAGUUUUAUUGCUUGCUCUUAGAGGUUCUGAUAUCCCCUUCAAGUGGAAAAUAGUUUUAGACUUGAUUCUAAAAAACAAGGAGACCAACACAGGCAGUCGUUUAUGUUACCAUUGGCUAUAGAGAAUUUCAAUCAAUAUCGUUAUUGUCAAUUUGUUCUACUGAGAUGCAAAUUUUAUUAUAGUCUGCAAUGUAGAUGGACGUGAAUUUGGGUUAGACUUGCAGUUUGUUACGGAGUGCUUUGUGGCAAGGGGCUCCACUGAUGGGAAGCUUAGCAUGCUGCCAUUGGGACCAUAAGUUGCUGAGUUAUGUGAUUGUUUUUCCUUUCCUUAUACUCUAGGUUUUCAAAAUUAGGGAAAAACAAUAAUAAUGAAAGAGGGAAAAUAGAAAAUUUAAUUAAUAAAUCUGGUUGAUUUUUUGUCCUAUUGUGUAUCCUGAGAGGUGUACAUGUAAACGCACUAUCGUCUACUGGAAACUUGAAUAGUCUUUAUCUGUUUAAUAAGAAUAUUAGAAUUCCAAUUUUUUAAAAUUAACCUUUUUGCAGGAAGAAGAAUUGAAAGGUGCAGUUAUCCUCAUUUUUGCAAACAAGCAGGUUGAGAGCAUUUCCUCAUCUUCUACAAAUGAGAAAAAUAAGACCGUUCUUUUGUCAUAUCACAGGCACAGCCUACAAUAUGUUGAUUUACUGGUCAGCUUCCAAGACGGGCUUUCCAUUUUCUGAGUUUUGUAUAUACAAUAUGAGAUAAAAGUAUUUAAUCUAAUUUCCUUGUCUCAGUGACAAAAAGAUUUUCCAAUUAUUGGAAAUCCUCGCAACAUGUUGGACUUAUUGCUUAUAUGAGCAGGACCUCCCUGGUGCUCUUGAUGAUGCUGCUGUCACUGAGGCCUUGGAGCUGCACAAGAUAAAAAUCGUCAGUGGGCCAUCUUCAAGACAUGUGCUGUUAAGGGUGAAGGCCUCUUUGAGGGCUUGGACUGGUUGACUAAUACUCUCAAGUCCGGGGGUGGCUAACUUUGUCAGAUGAAGUCUUAACAUUAGCUCUGUCAAUGCAUGCUACGCAGGAGUUAUCUUAAUUGUUAUUGCCAUUGAUUUAUGCUUGGCAUGCAUUCAUUCCUUGUCAUGUUCUUUCUUCUUAUUGUCCUUUUCAUUUAUGGAGGUUUUAGGAGGGUGUUUGGUACGAGGUUAACGAGGAGUAGAUAUUAUCCUUGUAAUUUUUAAUCCUUAUUAAUGUUGUUUAGAUAUUUAAAAAGAGAAUAUGUUAACUUUUCUUCUCAUUAAUAUUUAUA